Molecule: long non-coding RNA, 807 nt
Filed under: Numida meleagris (helmeted guineafowl)
Lineage: Eukaryota; Metazoa; Chordata; Aves; Galliformes; Numididae
Description: lncRNA (ENSNMEG00000001646.1)
Source: RNAcentral
AUAAAUUACUACUGUAAGACAAAUAAGGUUAGUGGAAAUUACUUUCAUGUCUCAAUAUUGUUGUUGUAAUAAAGGAUAACUGUGAUACAGAAAUUGAAAUUGGAGUUGCAGUGAUUGAAAAUUUGUAUGACAGAUACUUGAGGAUGCUGGCAGUUUGAGUUCUUUAAUUUUGCUCUUGGACUUCUGGUAAUUGCCUUAACACACAUGGCAAGGUACUAUUAAGUGCAAUAAUAAGAAAAAUCUAUCAUCACCACUUUAAAAAAUACAUUCUGUAAUGUUGAAAGCUACAUCCUUUUUUAGGAAAUAGAAAAUAUUCUCUCUGAUUUUACUGCCUGUAUUACUGAUCACUUUUUAACCCGGCCUUAGCUCUACUUUCAGAUCCUGCAGGCUGGAGGAAUCCAUAGAUUCUUUAAGCAAGUAUGAAUUCCUGCUCCUGCCCAAGCUGCUGACGGUGUGACAUGAUUUCUGUCACCUGGAACAGUGUCCACUGUACAGUUAUGGAGUUUGUGAGCAAAGGUAUAUAUGACCCACCUAGGCCUUAUUGACACAGAAGGUUAAACUGCAAGCUGUGAGUAUUUCUUUCUACACAUCAGUGAGAUGAUUUUAAGAAUUUUAAAUUUUAACCCUAACCCAAACCCUAAUUUUAAAUGCAUUAAUAGUUGAAGCAAUAUUUAAUUUAUAAAAGAUGUCAUGGAUGCUAUUUUACCACAAACAGCUUAAUUAGUAGUAUGAAAUGAUUCUUUGUCAGAAAAAAAAAGCAGCUAUGAUUAGAGGACAAGUUUUUUUUUGUGUUUUUUUUUUUUUUUU